RNAcentral lists this ribosomal RNA (2548 nucleotides) under Escherichia coli. RNAcentral's name for it is "partial 23S ribosomal RNA". It matches the Rfam family "Bacterial large subunit ribosomal RNA", at positions 397 to 2925 of the family's 2925-position model. The record is from RNAcentral. Lineage: Bacteria; Pseudomonadati; Pseudomonadota; Gammaproteobacteria; Enterobacterales; Enterobacteriaceae.
UUGUGAGCUCGAUGAGUAGGGCGGGACACGUGGUAUCCUGUCUGAAUAUGGGGGGACCAUCCUCCAAGGCUAAAUACUCCUGACUGACCGAUAGUGAACCAGUACCGUGAGGGAAAGGCGAAAAGAACCCCGGCGAGGGGAGUGAAAAAGAACCUGAAACCGUGUACGUACAAGCAGUGGGAGCCUCUUAAUGGGGUGACUGCGUACCUUUUGUAUAAUGGGUCAGCGACUUAUAUUCUGUAGCAAGGUUAACCGAAUAGGGGAGCCGAAGGGAAACCGAGUCUUAACUGGGCGUUAAGUUGCAGGGUAUAGACCCGAAACCCGGUGAUCUAGCCAUGGGCAGGUUGAAGGUUGGGUAACACUAACUGGAGGACCGAACCGACUAAUGUUGAAAAAUUAGCGGAUGACUUGUGGCUGGGGGUGAAAGGCCAAUCAAACCGGGAGAUAGCUGGUUCUCCCCGAAAGCUAUUUAGGUAGCGCCUCGUGAAUUCAUCUCCGGGGGUAGAGCACUGUUUCGGCAAGGGGGUCAUCCCGACUUACCAACCCGAUGCAAACUGCGAAUACCGGAGAAUGUUAUCACGGGAGACACACGGCGGGUGCUAACGUCCGUCGUGAAGAGGGAAACAACCCAGACCGCCAGCUAAGGUCCCAAAGUCAUGGUUAAGUGGGAAACGAUGUGGGAAGGCCCAGACAGCCAGGAUGUUGGCUUAGAAGCAGCCAUCAUUUAAAGAAAGCGUAAUAGCUCACUGGUCGAGUCGGCCUGCGCGGAAGAUGUAACGGGGCUAAACCAUGCACCGAAGCUGCGGCAGCGACACUAUGUGUUGUUGGGUAGGGGAGCGUUCUGUAAGCCUGUGAAGGUGGCCUGUGAGGGUUGCUGGAGGUAUCAGAAGUGCGAAUGCUGACAUAAGUAACGAUAAAGCGGGUGAAAAGCCCGCUCGCCGGAAGACCAAGGGUUCCUGUCCAACGUUAAUCGGGGCAGGGUGAGUCGACCCCUAAGGCGAGGCCGAAAGGCGUAGUCGAUGGGAAACAGGUUAAUAUUCCUGUACUUGGUGUUACUGCGAAGGGGGGACGGAGAAGGCUAUGUUGGCCGGGCGACGGUUGUCCCGGUUUAAGCGUGUAGGCUGGUUUUCCAGGCAAAUCCGGAAAACCAAGGCUGAGGCGUGAUGACGAGGCACUACGGUGCUGAAGCGACAAAUGCCCUGCUUCCAGGAAAAGCCUCUAAGCAUCAGGUAACAUCAAAUCGUACCCCAAACCGACACAGGUGGUCAGGUAGAGAAUACCAAGGCGCUUGAGAGAACUCGGGUGAAGGAACUAGGCAAAAUGGUGCCGUAACUUCGGGAGAAGGCACGCUGAUAUGUAGGUGAAGCGACUUGCUCGUGGAGCUGAAAUCAGUCGAAGAUACCAGCUGGCUGCAACUGUUUAUUAAAAACACAGCACUGUGCAAACACGAAAGUGGACGUAUACGGUGUGACGCCUGCCCGGUGCCGGAAGGUUAAUUGAUGGGGUUAGCGGUAACGCGAAGCUCUUGAUCGAAGCCCCGGUAAACGGCGGCCGUAACUAUAACGGUCCUAAGGUAGCGAAAUUCCUUGUCGGGUAAGUUCCGACCUGCACGAAUGGCGUAAUGAUGGCCAGGCUGUCUCCACCCGAGACUCAGUGAAAUUGAACUCGCUGUGAAGAUGCAGUGUACCCGCGGCAAGACGGAAAGACCCCGUGAACCUUUACUAUAGCUUGACACUGAACAUUGAGCCUUGAUGUGUAGGAUAGGUGGGAGGCUUUGAAGUGUGGACGCCAGUCUGCAUGGAGCCGACCUUGAAAUACCACCCUUUAAUGUUUGAUGUUCUAACGUUGGCCCGUAAUCCGGGUUGCGGACAGUGUCUGGUGGGUAGUUUGACUGGGGCGGUCUCCUCCUAAAGAGUAACGGAGGAGCACGAAGGUUGGCUAAUCCUGGUCGGACAUCAGGAGGUUAGUGCAAUGGCAUAAGCCAGCUUGACUGCGAGCGUGACGGCGCGAGCAGGUGCGAAAGCAGGUCAUAGUGAUCCGGUGGUUCUGAAUGGAAGGGCCAUCGCUCAACGGAUAAAAGGUACUCCGGGGAUAACAGGCUGAUACCGCCCAAGAGUUCAUAUCGACGGCGGUGUUUGGCACCUCGAUGUCGGCUCAUCACAUCCUGGGGCUGAAGUAGGUCCCAAGGGUAUGGCUGUUCGCCAUUUAAAGUGGUACGCGAGCUGGGUUUAGAACGUCGUGAGACAGUUCGGUCCCUAUCUGCCGUGGGCGCUGGAGAACUGAGGGGGGCUGCUCCUAGUACGAGAGGACCGGAGUGGACGCAUCACUGGUGUUCGGGUUGUCAUGCCAAUGGCACUGCCCGGUAGCUAAAUGCGGAAGAGAUAAGUGCUGAAAGCAUCUAAGCACGAAACUUGCCCCGAGAUGAGUUCUCCCUGAGACUUAGAGUCUCCUGAAGGAACGUUGAAGACGACGACGUUGAUAGGCCGGGUGUGUAAGCGCAGCGAUGCGUUGAGCUAACCGGUACUAAUGAACCGUGAGGCUUAACCUU